This 303-nucleotide ribosomal RNA is filed under the name uncultured bacterium. RNAcentral's name for it is "partial 16S ribosomal RNA". It matches the Rfam family "Bacterial small subunit ribosomal RNA", at positions 507 to 809 of the family's 1533-position model. The record is from RNAcentral.
AGCAGUAGCCGCGGUAAUACAGAGGGUGCGAGCGUUAAUCGGAUUUACUGGGCGUAAAGCGUGCGUAGGCGGCUUUUUAAGUCGGAUGUGAAAUCCCUGAGCUUAACUUAGGAAUUGCAUUCGAUACUGGGAAGCUAGAGUAUGGGAGAGGAUGGUAGAAUUCCAGGUGUAGCGGUGAAAUGCGUAGAGAUCUGGAGGAAUACCGAUGGCGAAGGCAGCCAUCUGGCCUAAUACUGACGCUGAGGUACGAAAGCAUGGGGAGCAAACAGGAUUAGAUACCCGAGUAGUCCCUGUCUCUUAUCA